UACAGAGGUCUCAACCGUUGUUCGGAUUCAUUGGGCGUAAAGGGUGCGUAGGCGGUCGCGCAAGUCGGAUGUGAAAUCUUGGGGCUCAACCCUGAAACUGCAUUCGAUACUGCGUGGCUCGAGUACUGGAGAGGAGACUGGAAUUUACGGUGUAGCAGUGAAAUGCGUAGAUAUCGUAAGGAAGGCCAGUGGCGAAGGCGAGUCUCUGGACAGUUACUGACGCUGAGGCACGAAGGCCAGGGGAGCAAACGGG
Molecule: ribosomal RNA, 253 nt
Filed under: uncultured bacterium
Lineage: Bacteria
Description: partial 16S ribosomal RNA
Rfam family: Bacterial small subunit ribosomal RNA
Source: RNAcentral